This 197-nucleotide ribosomal RNA is filed under the name Paraclostridium benzoelyticum. RNAcentral's name for it is "partial 23S ribosomal RNA". It matches the Rfam family "Bacterial large subunit ribosomal RNA", at positions 2726 to 2925 of the family's 2925-position model. Lineage: Bacteria; Bacillati; Bacillota; Clostridia; Peptostreptococcales; Peptostreptococcaceae. The record is from RNAcentral.
CUGCCAAGGGCAUGGCUGGGUAGCUAUGUACGGAAUGGAUAAGCGCUGAAAGCAUCUAAGCGCGAAGCCAACUUCAAGAUAAGAUUUCCCACCGUAAGGGUAAGAUCCCAGGAAGACUACCUGGUUGAUAGGUCGGAGGUGUAAGUGCAGCAAUGUAUGUAGCUUACCGAUACUAAUAGAUCGAGGACUUGACCAAG